Molecule: ribosomal RNA, 502 nt
Filed under: Thermoplasmata archaeon
Lineage: Archaea; Methanobacteriati; Thermoplasmatota; Thermoplasmata
Description: bacterial SSU rRNA
Rfam family: Archaeal small subunit ribosomal RNA
Source: RNAcentral
AUGUGGGUCAAGUUGACGACUUUGCCUGAAUGUCAGAGAGGUGGUGCAUGGCCGUCAUCAGUUCGUACCGUAAGGCGUUCUGUUAAGUCAGAUAACGAACGAGACCCUCGCCCCUAGUUACUACCCCAUCCGCUAGGAUGGGCGCACACUAGGGGGACCGCUGGCGCUAAGCCAGAGGAAGGCGAGGUCUACGGUAGGUCAGUAUGCCCCGAAUCCCCUGGGCUACACGCGCGCUACAAAGGCCGGGACAAUGGGCUCCGACCUCGAGAGAGGAAGGUAAUCCCGAAACCCGGUCGUAGUUCGGAUUGAGGGCUGUAAUUCGCCCUCACGAACGCUGGAUUCGGUAGUAAUCGCGUCUCAACAUGGCGCGGUGAAUAUGCCCCUGCUCCUUGCACACACCGCCCGUCAAACCAUCCGAGUUGAUCCUAGAUGAGGACAUCCCACACGGGAUGUUCGAAUCUGGGUUCGGCAAGGAGGGUUAAGUCGUAACAAGGUAUCUGUA